GGUGGAUUCAUGCUCAUGAACAUCGCGAAUCAUCCAGCUAGAAUUCGCAGCAAACAUGCAAGUAGUAAGCUGGUUCUCUAGAUCUUGAUUUUGAUACGGAGGUGCAUAAUAAAUAUUGCUGGAGGGGAGACAUUUCUGACCAAGAAUAUCAUGGAAGGAUUUUUCAGCAGCAUGAAGAGUGGAGGGUUGUAAAUUGCAGCAGCUUUCCUCCUCCAACUCUUCCUCCAAAAGAGUGCGGUUGAUGUACCUCAGAAUAGCAUCAGCUGAAGGAUCUUGAACGAUUGAGUUCAUCGAGGGAUUUCAGGAGUGGCGAGUAUGUAGUUUGGAUGAUGGCUAGGAAAUUAAGGUCUAUAUGAAGUAAACAAAUGAGAUGAUCAUGAUCAGCAAGAACUGAAAAGCUUGGUAAUUUGGAUGUUUGUGAAGACUGAAAAGCAAGUGAACAAGAAUGCAUCUAAUAGAAAGAUAGAGAGCUGAGCC
This 477-nucleotide unclassified non-coding RNA is filed under the name Hevea brasiliensis (rubber tree). The record is from RNAcentral. Lineage: Eukaryota; Viridiplantae; Streptophyta; Magnoliopsida; Malpighiales; Euphorbiaceae.